GAUGAACGCUGGCGGCGUGCUUAACACAUGCAAGUCGAACGAAGCACUUUAUUUGAUUUCCUUCGGGACUGAUUAUUUUGUGACUGAGUGGCGGACGGGUGAGUAACGCGUGGGUAACCUGCCUUGUACAGGGGGAUAACAGUUGGAAACGGCUGCUAAUACCGCAUAAGCGCACAGCAUCGCAUGAUGCAGUGUGAAAAACUCCGGUGGUAUAAGAUGGACCCGCGUUGGAUUAGCUAGUUGGUGAGGUAACGGCCCACCAAGGCGACGAUUCAUAGCCGACCUGAGAGGGUGACCGGCCACAUUGGGACUGAGACACGGCCCAAACUCCUACGGGAGGCAGCAGUGGGGAAUAUUGCACAAUGGGCGAAAGCCUGAUGCAGCGACGCCGCGUGAGCGAAGAAGUAUUUCGGUAUGUAAAGCUCUAUCAGCAGGGAAGAUAAUGACGGUACCUGACGAAGAAGCACCGGCUAAAUACGUG
RNAcentral lists this ribosomal RNA (481 nucleotides) under uncultured bacterium. RNAcentral's name for it is "partial 16S ribosomal RNA". It matches the Rfam family "Bacterial small subunit ribosomal RNA", at positions 28 to 507 of the family's 1533-position model. The record is from RNAcentral.